AUAAGCGGCGGAAACGCCGUCUAAUACCGCGUGACAACCCGAGGGGGCAUCCCCUUGGGUUCAAAGGAGAGAUCCGGUACCGGCUGGGCAUGCGGCGCAUUAGCUAGUUGGCGGGGCAACGGCCCACCAAGGCGACGAUGCGUAGGGGUUCUGAGAGGAAGGUCCCCCACACUGGAACUGAGACACGGUCCAGACUCCUACGGGAGGCAGCAGUGAGGAAUAUUGGUCAAUGGGCGCAAGCCUGAACCAGCCAAGUCGCGUGAGGGAAGACGGCCCUACGGGUUGUAAACCUCUUUUGCCGGGGAGCAAGCCUGAGCACGUGUGCCCAGGCGGAGAGUACCCGGAGAAAAAGCAUCGGCUAACUCCGUGCCAGCAGCCGCGGUAAUACGGAGGAUGCGAGCGUUAUCCGGAUUUAUUGGGUUUAAAGGGUGCGCAGGCGGGCUGUUAAGCCGGCGGUAAAAAUUCAGGGCUCAACCCUGUCGAGCCGUCGGAACUGGCAGUCUUGAGUGGGCGAGAAGUAUGCGGAAUGCGUGGUGUAGCGGUGAAAUGCAUAGAUAUCACGCAGAACGCCGAUUGCGAAGGCAGCAUACCGGCGCCCAACUGACGCUGAGGCACGAAAGCGUGGGGAUCGAACAGGAUUAGAUACCCUGGUAGUCCACGCAGUAAACGAUGAGCGCUAACUGUCCGGAGCGAGCGAGCUCUGGGUG
RNAcentral lists this ribosomal RNA (707 nucleotides) under uncultured bacterium. RNAcentral describes it as "bacterial SSU rRNA". It matches the Rfam family "Bacterial small subunit ribosomal RNA", at positions 143 to 845 of the family's 1533-position model. The record is from RNAcentral.